Molecule: ribosomal RNA, 479 nt
Filed under: uncultured bacterium
Lineage: Bacteria
Description: partial 16S ribosomal RNA
Rfam family: Bacterial small subunit ribosomal RNA
Source: RNAcentral
GAUGAACGCUAGCGGGAGGCCUAACACAUGCCAGCCGAGCGGUAGAGUCUCUUCGGAGCCUUGAGAGCGGCGCACGGGUGCGGAACACGUGUGCAACCUGCCUUUAUCUGGGGGAUAGCCUUUCGAAAGGAAGAUUAAUACCCCAUAAUAUACUGGAUGGCAUCAUCUGGUAUUGAAAACUCCGGUGGAUAGAGAUGGGCACGCGCAAGAUUAGAUAGUUGGUGAGGUAACGGCUCACCAAGUCAGCGAUCUUUAGGGGGCCUGAGAGGGUGAUCCCCCACACUGGUACUGAGACACGGACCAGACUCCUACGGGAGGCAGCAGUGAGGAAUAUUGGACAAUGGGUGAGAGCCUGAUCCAGCCAUCCCGCGUGAAGGACGACGGCCCUAUGGGUUGUAAACUUCUUUUGUAUAGGGAUAAACCUAGAUACGUGUAUCUAGCUGAAGGUACUAUACGAAUAAGCACCGGCUAACUCCGUG